CCCUUAGAUGUUCUGGGCUGCACGCGCGCUACACUGAUACUUUCAGCGAGUCCACCACCUUGCCUGGGAAGGUGGGGUAACCUCUGGAAAGUGCAUCGUGAUGGGGAUCGAUUAUUGUAAUUAUUAAUCUUCAACGAGGAAUUCCUAGUAAGCAUGUGUCAUCAGCCCGUGCUGAUUACGUCCCUGCCCUUUGUACACACCGCCCGUCGCUCCUACCGAUUGAACGGUUUAGUGAGGGCCUCGGAUUGGUCUCGGCCCGCUCUUUACCGGGCGGCGCCGUUGGUCGAGAAGACGCUCGAACUUGAUCGUUUAGAGGAAGUAAAAGUCGUAACA
RNAcentral lists this ribosomal RNA (333 nucleotides) under uncultured eukaryote. Its description in RNAcentral is "partial 18S ribosomal RNA". It matches the Rfam family "Eukaryotic small subunit ribosomal RNA", at positions 1470 to 1796 of the family's 1831-position model. The record is from RNAcentral.